ACGGGAGGCAGCAGUAGGGAAUAUUGGGCAAUGGACGCAAGUCUGACCCAGCCACGCCGCGUGAAGGAUGACUGCCCUAUGGGUUGUAAACUUCUUUUGUAUGGGAAGAAACCCCCGAACGUGUUCGGGGCUGACGGUACCAUGAGAAUAAGGAUCGGCUAACUCCGUGCCAGCAGCCGCGGUAAUACGGAGGAUCCAAGCGUUGUCCGGAUUCAUUGGGUUUAAAGGGUGCGUAGGCGGGGAAUUAAGUCAGUGGUGAAAGCUUACAGCUUAACUGUAAAAAUGCCAUUGAAACUGAUUCUCUUGAGUUCGAUUGAGGUAGAUGGAAUGUAUCAUGUAGCGGUGAAAUGCUUAGAUAUGAUACAGAACACCAAUUGCGAAGGCAGUCUACUAAGUCGAUACUGACGCUGAGGCACGAAAGCAUGGGGAGCAAACAGGAUUAGAUACCCUGGUA
RNAcentral lists this ribosomal RNA (454 nucleotides) under uncultured Sphingobacteriales bacterium. Its description in RNAcentral is "bacterial SSU rRNA". It matches the Rfam family "Bacterial small subunit ribosomal RNA", at positions 341 to 792 of the family's 1533-position model. Lineage: Bacteria; Pseudomonadati; Bacteroidota; Sphingobacteriia; Sphingobacteriales. The record is from RNAcentral.